This 450-nucleotide ribosomal RNA is filed under the name uncultured bacterium. RNAcentral describes it as "partial 16S ribosomal RNA". It matches the Rfam family "Bacterial small subunit ribosomal RNA", at positions 354 to 796 of the family's 1533-position model. The record is from RNAcentral.
GUGGGGAAUCUUCCACAAUGGACGAAAGUCUGAUGGAGCAACGCCGCGUGAGUGAAGAAGGGUUUCGGCUCGUAAAGCUCUGUUGUCGGGGACGAAUGUGCAGUAUUUGAAUAAAGUAUUGCAAUGACGGUACCUGACGAGGAAGCCACGGCUAACUACGUGCCAGCAGCCGCGGUAAUACGUAGGUGGCAAGCGUUGUCCGGAAUUAUUGGGCGUAAAGGGAGCGCAGGCGGGAAGGUAAGUCGGUCUUAAAAGUGCGGGGCUCAACCCCGUGAUGGGAUCGAAACUAUCUUUCUUGGGUGCAGGAGAGGAAAGUGGAAUUCCUAGUGUAGCGGUGAAAUGCGUAGAUAUUAGGAGGAACACCAGUGGCGAAGGCGGCUUUCUGGACUGUAACUGACACUGAGGCACGAAAGCGUGGGGAGCAAACAGGAUUAGAUACCCUGGUAGUCC